This 515-nucleotide ribosomal RNA is filed under the name uncultured bacterium. RNAcentral describes it as "partial 16S ribosomal RNA". It matches the Rfam family "Bacterial small subunit ribosomal RNA", at positions 28 to 523 of the family's 1533-position model. The record is from RNAcentral.
GAUGAACGCUGGCGGCGUGCCUAAUACAUGCAAGUCGAGCGAAUGGAUUAAGAGCUUGCUCUUAUGAAGUUAGCGGCGGACGGGUGAGUAACACGUGGGUAACCUGCCCAUAAGACUGGGAUAACUCCGGGAAACCGGGGCUAAUACCGGAUAACAUUUUGAACCGCAUGGUUCGAAAUUGAAAGGCGGCUUCGGCUGUCACUUAUGGAUGGACCCGCGUCGCAUUAGGUAGUUGGUGAGGUAAAGGCUCACCAAGGCAACGAUGCGUAGCCGACCUGGGAGGGUGAUCGGGCACACUGGGACUGAGACACGGCCCAGACUCCUACGGGAGGCAGCAGUAGGGAAUCUUCCGCAAUGGACGAAAGUCUGACGGAGCAACGCCGCGUGAGUGAUGAAGGCUUUCGGGUCGUAAAACUCUGUUGUUAGGGAAGAACAAGUGCUAGUUGAAUAAGCUGGCACCUUGACGGUACCUAACCAGAAAGCCACGGCUAACUACGUGUCAGCAGCCGCCGUAA